This 422-nucleotide ribosomal RNA is filed under the name uncultured bacterium. RNAcentral describes it as "bacterial SSU rRNA". It matches the Rfam family "Bacterial small subunit ribosomal RNA", at positions 38 to 507 of the family's 1533-position model. The record is from RNAcentral.
GGCGGCAGGCUUAACACAUGCAAGUCGAGCGGCGUAGCAAUACGUCAGCGGCAGACGGGUGAGUAACGCGUGGGAACGUACCUUUUGGUUCGGAACAACACAGGGAAACUUGUGCUAAUACCGGAUAAGCCCUUACGGGGAAAGAUUUAUCGCCGAAAGAUCGGCCCGCGUCUGAUUAGCUAGUUGGUAGGGUAAUGGCCUACCAAGGCGACGAUCAGUAGCUGGUCUGAGAGGAUGAUCAGCCACAUUGGGACUGAGACACGGCCCAAACUCCUACGGGAGGCAGCAGUGGGAAUAUUGGACAAUGGGGCAACCCUGAUCCAGCCAUGCCGCGUGAGUGAUGAAGGCCCUAGGGUUGUAAAGCUCUUUUGUGCGGGAAGAUAAUGACGGUACCGCAAGAAUAAGCCCCGGCUAACUUCGUG